This 979-nucleotide ribosomal RNA is filed under the name human gut metagenome. RNAcentral describes it as "bacterial LSU rRNA". It matches the Rfam family "Bacterial large subunit ribosomal RNA", at positions 1950 to 2925 of the family's 2925-position model. The record is from RNAcentral.
CCUAAGGUAGCGAAAUUCCUUGUCGGGUAAGUUCCGACCUGCACGAAUGGCGUAACGACUUCCCCACUGUCUCGACCAGGAGCUCGGCGAAAUUGCAGUACGAGUAAAGAUGCUCGUUAAGCGCAGAAGGACGAAAAGACCCCGGGACCUUUACUAUACCUUGGUAUUGGCAUUCGGUGUGGAUUGUGUAGCAUAGGCGGGAGGCUUCGAAGCGUUGGCGCCAGCCAGUGUGGAGCCGUAAGGUGAAAUACCGCUCUGUUCGCAUUGGAUGUCUAACCUCGACGAGUUAUCCUCGUCAGGGACAGUGCCUGGCGGGUAGUUUAACUGGGGCGGUUGCCUCCCAAAGAGUAACGGAGGCGCCCAAAGGUCCGCUCAGCCCGGUUGGCAAUCGGGUGGCGAGUGCAAGUGCACAAGCGGGCUUGACUGCGAGGACGACGGUCCGAGCAGGGACGAAAGUCGGGACUAGUGAUCCGGUGCCGGUGUACGGACGCGGCAUCGCUCAACGGAUAAAAGGUACCCCGGGGAUAACAGGCUGAUCAUUCCCAAGAGUCCAUAUCGACGGGAUGGUUUGGCACCUCGAUGUCGGCUCGUCGCAUCCUGGGGCUGGAGCAGGUCCCAAGGGUUCGGCUGUUCGCCGAUUAAAGCGGCACGCGAGCUGGGUUCAGAACGUCGUGAGACAGUUUGGUCUCUAUCCUCUGCGCUCGUUGGAAUGUUGAGGAGGCCUGCCCAUAGUACGAGAGGACCUGGGUGGACGAACCUCUGGUAUGCCGGUUGUCACGCCAGUGGCACGGCCGGUUGGCUACGUUCGGAAGGGAUAACCGCUGAAAGCAUCUAAGCGGGAAGCCUGCUCCAAGAUAAGCAUUCCGUGCAGCCUCGGGCUGCUGUAGUCCCCAUGCAGAACACGUGGUCGAUAGGCCGGACGUGGAAGCCCCGCGAGGGGUGGAGCCGACCGGUACUAACGGACGAAAGGCAACACUCA